GUGUUCACUUUCAUAGCACACACGCUGGCAUGAGAACACUGCAGAAAAGAUUAGCAUACUCUGUGCAAAGGGAUGACACUCAAAUCAAAAGCCUCCCAUAUUUUU
Erinaceus europaeus (western European hedgehog) is the source of this 105-nucleotide non-coding RNA. Lineage: Eukaryota; Metazoa; Chordata; Mammalia; Eulipotyphla; Erinaceidae. The record is from Rfam.